This 1268-nucleotide ribosomal RNA is filed under the name Clostridioides difficile. Its description in RNAcentral is "bacterial LSU rRNA". It matches the Rfam family "Bacterial large subunit ribosomal RNA", at positions 786 to 2072 of the family's 2925-position model. The record is from RNAcentral. Lineage: Bacteria; Bacillati; Bacillota; Clostridia; Peptostreptococcales; Peptostreptococcaceae.
GCGUUGAAAAGCUCGGGGAUGACUUGUGGGUAGCGGUGAAAUUCCAAUCGAGCCCGGAGAUAGCUGGUUCUCCCCGAAAUAGCUUUAGGGCUAGCCUCAAGGUGAGAGAUACGGAGGUAGAGCACUGAAUGUCCUAGGGGGUAUUGCACCUACCGAAGACUAUCAAACUCCGAAUGCCGUCAUCUUAUACUUGGGAGUCAGACUGUGGGUGAUAAGAUUCAUAGUCGAAAGGGCAACAGCCCAGAUCGUCAGCUAAGGUCCCUAAAUGUAAGUUAAGUGGUAAAGGAUGUGGGAUUGCACAGACAACCAGGAUGUUGGCUUAGAAGCAGCCACUCAUUCAAAGAGUGCGUAAUAGCUCACUGGUCGAGUGAUCCUGCGCCGAAGAUUUCCGGGGCUAAAACUUACUACCGAAGCUACGGCAUCAGUAAUGAUGGGUAGGGGAGCUUCCCAUACGGGUUGAAGCAUGACCGUAAGGACAUGUGGACAGUAUGGGAGUGAGAAUGUUGGCAUGAGUAGCGAGAUGUGGGUGGGAAUCCCACAGGCCGUAAACCCAAGGUUUCCAGGGGAAGGUUCGUCCGCCCUGGGUUAGUCGGGACCUAAGCUGAGGCCGAAAGGCGUAGGUGAUGGACAACAGGUUGAUAUUCCUGUACUACCGAUAACCGUUUGAGAGAAGGGAUGACACAGUAGGAUAAGCUAAGCACACUGUUGGUUAUGUGUGCCCAAGCAUUGAGGCAGUCAAAGUAGGUAAAUCCGCUUUGAUAAUGCUGGGAUGUGAUGGGGAGCGAAAUUUAGUAGCGAAGUAGCUGAUUUCACACUGUCAAGAAAAGUCUCUAUCGAGGUUAAAGGUACCCGUACCGCAAACCGACACAGGUGGGUGAGGAGAGUAUCCUAAGGCCAGCGAGAGAACUGUUGUUAAGGAACUCGGCAAAAUGACCCCGUAACUUAGGGAUAAGGGGUGCCACCAUCAGGUGGCCGCAGAGAAUAGGCCCAAGCGACUGUUUACCAAAAACAUAGGUUUCUGCUAAGUCGCAAGACGAUGUAUAGGAGCUGACGCCUGCCCGGUGCUGGAAGGUUAAGGGGAUCUGUUAGAGCAAUCGAAGCAGUGAACUUAAGCCCCAGUAAACGGCGGCCGUAACUAUAACGGUCCUAAGGUAGCGAAAUUCCUUGUCGGGUAAGUUCCGACCCGCACGAAAGGCGUAACGAUUUGGGCACUGUCUCAACAACAGACUCGGUGAAAUUGUAAUUCCGGUGAAGAUGCCGGAUACCUG